RNAcentral lists this ribosomal RNA (1374 nucleotides) under uncultured bacterium. RNAcentral describes it as "bacterial SSU rRNA". It matches the Rfam family "Bacterial small subunit ribosomal RNA", at positions 28 to 1381 of the family's 1533-position model. The record is from RNAcentral.
GAUGAACGCUGGCGGCGUGCCUAAUACAUGCAAGUCGAGCGAACGGACGAGAAGCUUGCUUCUCUGAUGUUAGCGGCGGACGGGUGAGUAACACGUGGAUAACCUACCUAUAAGACUGGGAUAACUUCGGGAAACCGGAGCUAAUACCGGAUAAUAUUUUGAACCGCAUGGUUCAAAAGUGAAAGACGGUCUUGCUGUCACUUAUAGAUGGAUCCGCGCUGCAUUAGCUAGUUGGUAAGGUAACGGCUUACCAAGGCAACGAUGCAUAGCCGACCUGAGAGGGUGAUCGGCCACACUGGAACUGAGACACGGUCCAGACUCCUACGGGAGGCAGCAGUAGGGAAUCUUCCGCAAUGGGCGAAAGCCUGACGGAGCAACGCCGCGUGAGUGAUGAAGGUCUUCGGAUCGUAAAACUCUGUUAUUAGGGAAGAACAUAUGUGUAAGUAACUGUGCACAUCUUGACGGUACCUAAUCAGAAAGCCACGGCUAACUACGUGCCAGCAGCCGCGGUAAUACGUAAGUGGCAAGCGUUAUCCGGAAUUAUUGGGCGUAAAGCGCGCGUAGGCGGGUUUUUAAGUCUGAUGGGAAAGCCCACCGCUCAACCGUUGGAGGGUCAUUGGAAACUGGAAAACUUGAGUGCAGAAGAGGAAAGUGGAAUUCCAUGUGUAGCGGUGAAAUGGGCAGAGAUAUGGAGGAACACCAGUGGGGAAGGGCGACUUUCUGGUCUGUAACUGACGCUGAUGUGCGAAAGCGUGGGGAUCAAACAGGAUUAGAUACCCUGGUAGUCCACGCCGUAAACGAUGAGUGCUAAGUGUUAGGGGGUUUCCGCCCCUUAGUGCUGCAGCUAACGCAUUAAGCACUCCGCCUGGGGAGUACGACCGCAAGGUUGAAACUCAAAGGAAUUGACGGGGACCCGCACAAGCGGUGGAGCAUGUGGUUUAAUUCGAAGCAACGCGAAGAACCUUACCAAAUCUUGACAUCCUUUGACAACUCUAGAGAUAGAGCUUUCCCCUUCGGGGGACAAAGUGACAGGUGGUGCAUGGUUGUCGUCAGCUCGUGUCGUGAGAUGUUGGGUUAAGUCCCGCAACGAGCGCAACCCUUAAGCUUAGUUGCCAUCAUUAAGUUGGGCACUCUAAGUUGACUGCCGGUGACAAACCGGAGGAAGGUGGGGAUGACGUCAAAUCAUCAUGCCCCUUAUGAUUUGGGCUACACACGUGCUACAAUGGACAAUACAAAGGGCAGCGAAACCGCGAGGUCAAGCAAAUCCCAUAAAGUUGUUCUCAGUUCGGAUUGUAGUCUGCAACUCGACUACAUGAAGCUGGAAUCGCUAGUAAUCGUAGAUCAGCAUGCUACGGUGAAUACGUUCCCGGGUCU